GAUGAACGCUAGCUACAGGCUUAACACAUGCAAGUCGAGGGGAAACGAUAGAGAAAGCUUGCUUUUUCUAGGCGUCGACCGGCGCACGGGUGAGUAACGCGUAUCCAACCUGCCCAUCACUUGGGGAUAACCUUGCGAAAGUAAGACUAAUACCCAAUGAUGUCUCUAGAAGACAUUUGAAAGGGAUUAAAGAUUUAUCGGUGAUGGAUGGGGAUGCGUCUGAUUAGCUUGUUGGCGGGGUAACGGCCCACCAAGGCGACGAUCAGUAGGGGUUCUGAGAGGAAGGUCCCCCACAGUGGAACUGAGACACGGUCCAAACUCCUACGGGAGGCAGCAGUGAGGAAUAUUGGUCAAUGGGCGAGAGCCUGAACCAGCCAAGUAGCGUGCAGGAUGACGGCCCUAUGGGUUGUAAACUGCUUUUAUAAGGGAAUAAAGUGAGCCUCGUGAGGCUUUUUGCAUGUACCUUAUGAAUAAGGACCGGCUAAUUCCGUGCCAGCAGCCGCCGUAA
RNAcentral lists this ribosomal RNA (508 nucleotides) under uncultured bacterium. RNAcentral describes it as "partial 16S ribosomal RNA". It matches the Rfam family "Bacterial small subunit ribosomal RNA", at positions 28 to 523 of the family's 1533-position model. The record is from RNAcentral.